This 497-nucleotide ribosomal RNA is filed under the name uncultured bacterium. RNAcentral's name for it is "partial 16S ribosomal RNA". It matches the Rfam family "Bacterial small subunit ribosomal RNA", at positions 28 to 507 of the family's 1533-position model. The record is from RNAcentral.
GAUGAACGCUGGCGGCGUGCCUAAUACAUGCAAGUCGAGCGAACGGACGAGAAGCUUGCUUUUCUGAUGUUAGCGGCGGACGGGUGAGUAACACGUGGAUAACCUACCUAUAAGACUGGGAUAACUUCGGGAAACCGGAGCUAAUACCGGAUAAUAUUUUGAACCGCAUGGUUCAAAAGUGAAAGACGGUCUUGCUGUCACUUAUAGAUGGAUCCGCGCUGCAUUAGCUAGUUGGUAAGGUAACGGCUUACCAAGGCAACGAUGCAUAGCCGACCUGAGAGGGUGAUCGGCCACACUGGAACUGAGACACGGUCCAGACUCCUACGGGAGGCAGCAGUAGGGAAUCUUCCGCAAUGGGCGAAAGCCUGACGGAGCAACGUCGCGUGAGUGAUGAAGGUCUUCGGAUCGUAAAACUCUGUUAUUAGGGAAGAACAUAUGUGUAAGUAACUGUGCACAUCUUGACGGUACCUAAUCAGAAAGCCACGGCUAACUACGUG